RNAcentral lists this ribosomal RNA (253 nucleotides) under uncultured bacterium. RNAcentral's name for it is "partial 16S ribosomal RNA". It matches the Rfam family "Bacterial small subunit ribosomal RNA", at positions 524 to 776 of the family's 1533-position model. The record is from RNAcentral.
UACGUAGGGUGCAAGCGUUAAUCGGAAUUACUGGGCGUAAAGCGUGCGCAGGCGGUUUGGCAAGACAGAUGUGAAAUCCCCGGGCUUAACCUGGGAACUGCAUUUGUGACUGCACGGCUAGAGUGCGGCAGAGGGGGAUGGAAUUCCGCGUGUAGCAGUGAAAUGCGUAGAUAUGCGGAGGAACACCGAUGGCGAAGGCAAUCCCCUGGGCCUGCACUGACGCUCAUGCACGAAAGCGUGGGGAGCAAACAGG